CAGCAUCACAGCCACGGCGGCCAGUAUCGGGGCAGCUGGGAUCCCUCAGGCGGGCCUGGUCACUAUGGUCAUCGUGCUGACAUCCGUGGGCCUGCCCACUGACGACAUCACGCUCAUCAUCGCGGUGGACUGGUUCCUGGAUCGGCUUCGCACCACAACCAAUGUCUUGGGAGACUCCCUGGGAGCCGGCAUUGUUGAACACUUGUCCCGACAUGAACUGAAGAACCGGGAUGUCGAAAUGGGCAACUCAGUGAUCGAAGAGAAUGAAAUGAAGAAACCAUAUCAGCUGAUUGCCCAGGAAAGCGAAAUCGAGAAACCCAUCGACAGUGAAACCAAGAUGUAGACGGACAUAAAAUGUUUCCUUGAGCACCCGGUGUUUGAAAACCGCUAUGACAUGUCUCCAUCUCGUUACAACUCAUUCUCUCCAGUAAGCCCCCUACCUCCCUUUUCCUCUCUACCCUGAUAGGAUUGGGAAGAAUUCAUCCCAAAACAAGGGAGGAUUUUGCAGUGGCCCAAAUGUGUAGUUCUCAUCCCACGUUUGAAAUGUUUCCAUCAUGUCAUGCUAGUCUUAUCUAUUAAGGUCCUGCGAUCAGAAAUGGUCUUGGAUCUUAAAAGUUGAUGUGGCACACAAUCCUGUAAAUGUGAUCAUUCUUAUAAAUUAAAGCGUCAAAACAAAUAGUAAGCUGAAGACAUAGUUUUAAAUCAACCUUCAAAAUUUACAAAUCCUUCAGGAUACAAUUCAGUUUUAGUAUCAGAACACAGCAACCUGAUAAGCAGUGGGUUCUCAGUUGGACAUUGGAAGAGGUUUUUUUUUUUCCUCCCAUUCUCUUGAGAUUUGUGUCUUUAUUUUACCAGUAGCAGGACAAUAGAAAUACACAACUAGCACAGCCGUGAGGAGGCAUGUAAAGUGAAAUUUCCCUGUGGCUGUGGGCAAGUCUCGUCUCUAGGUCUCAGUGUUUUCAUCUGCAAAAGGAACGAGUUGUCUAGAUGUCCUUAUGGUUGAUUCUAGCCCAGAGGUACUGAGGCGCCAUGGAAGAGCCUGCCCUCUACUCCCCCUUGGGACAUCCCAUGGCAAGUAUCAUUCCACAGAGCAUGGGACUUUCAGCAGAGAGUUGUUGGGAGUGACCAUUUCUAGGGAGGGGCAGGGUGGCUGUGCAGUUUACCAGGUUCCAUGUCCAGAAUGGCAGAGUCAGCAGGGGAUCCAUUCCCUUCACUCUUCCCAAACUAAAGGGAACCACGCUAGGAAGAGUGUCUCCCACCACUCCUCAACUGAUGAUAGACCUUUAGAAAAUACCACGCAAGACUAGCAACUAGCAAGCAUGCUCAUGGUCUUACUAUGGAACAGUAAAGAGCCAGCCAGGAAAGAGUGGAGCAUGGUUGACGUGAUAAAGAGAGGAUUUUAGAAUACCAAGGUUAUACGUCAUCUUUAAGGAAGAGUUUUUUAGAAGGAGAGAUUCUUAAAAGAAAAAAAAAACAACAAACCUGAAACUUUUUCUCUUCAGUUCAAAAAUCAUUCCCUAAGGAAGUCUGCAAAUCAAAAUAUAAGGUCACAUGUAUUUUCAAAUCAAAUCAAUGAGCUCUCUCUACUAGAGGCCCAUGAGCUGCAUGGGUGGUCUCUUAUUUGAAAAAGUUUGUUUUUUUUUUUUUUUUUUUUUUUUUUACUAUAAUCAAAAGUUCUUAGAAUGAGAGAAACAGGAUAUUUCUUUGUGUUGGAAUUCCACUCACCAAAUCUUUCGAAACCUUCAGCUGGAAUGGGAAUUAUUUUGGUUUUGUUUGUGUCCCUGGGAGAAAUGGUAGAAGAAGCAUCAGUAUGAAGCCACAUCAGUGGGGUUCCAAGAGGGGAGAAAAAAAGAGGCCUUAGUUUCAGGUGAGGCAGCUACCAGGUUUAAAGGAGAUUAAUAUUUGUACUCUAAGGAAUAUCCAGUCAAAGAUGCAGAGCGGGAGCUGUCAGACAAUACCAGCUGUGUUUGAAUUACUCAUGUAAAUGGUGAAGAAUGGACUUAAUUAUGCUAACAGACUGAAAAUCUAGACCGCCAUCCUCUGAUAUACAAUUAGAGAUGUUUUUAUAUAGAUCGCCAGCAUUAUGUGUGUACAAAAGUUAACGUUAGGCUGUGGUGGAGUAACCAUUUAAUGUCAAGGCUCUAUUUGGGAAAUACACUACAGAAGUUAAUGUACAAGGCUGUGAUCUUAUGACACCAGUAGAGCAAAACGUAAUCGUGUCAGAUUAAUUCUGUUACACAGUGUGAUUUAUUUUUUUUUUUAUACUAACCAUUUCUUACGGAAAGCAGGUCCUUCGGGAUGACCCUCUCGCCAGCCCAUCACGGGCUCUGCAUAUUACAUGCAGCCGGUGUGGACUGAGAAGCAUUACUUUGUAGAUGUGUUUUCAAUAAAGAAACCAAAUUAGUUUUAC
This 2410-nucleotide long non-coding RNA is filed under the name Sus scrofa (pig). RNAcentral's name for it is "lncRNA (ENSSSCG00030036696.1)". The record is from RNAcentral. Lineage: Eukaryota; Metazoa; Chordata; Mammalia; Artiodactyla; Suidae.